UUAGGACUGAGCUGUUGGGUACGUGAAUUAUUAGUCAACAAGCAAAGUCAUGUGUGAGGAAAGUGAGGGCAUGUUCAGUCAUGGGACAGUUGAAGAGUACUGGGAUGAGGGGCCCUAUAUCCUCUUGGUCACAGCCUGCUCAUUGAUCCAACAAACUCUCGGAAUUCUUUCGUUAUCAUAGAGUCCUAGACUUUAAUUGGGGGAUAGAGGAGGGCUGCCCUGGAUUUGACUCACUGUGACCUCAUUGCGCUGCUGUGUGCUCUCCUGUCAAUAUUCCUUCUGAACUACAAUUAGAUCUAGAAGUUCAUGACCUCCAAAGGUAACAACGUUAACAUGGAAGCCCACAUCCUGACUCAGACUUUUAAUUCUGAUGGAUCAUCUCCCUCCAGGAAGUGACUGCCCUCCGGUCCACAUUCACAAGGAGAAACACAGAGUUCUAAGCCUAGACUUUAAAGCUGCCAGGACUACACUCCUGUCCCCUUCACUGACAUAUGGAAAUGCCAGAAAAGAGGCAACUGGGUCCAUAUGUGUUAGAAGGAUUGUGAUUAGUUUUUGUCGUAUUUUAAACAGGAAGUUUUCUCAUUUGGAUUUCUUCAGCACAACCAAGAGGGCAAAGAGGAAAGCACGGUAUUUCCAACGGUCUCAGAAUAUUUUGUAGAUGAGGAAACUGAAGUUGAGAGACUGGCCAAUUCACCUUGAACCCGAAGAAGCUACAUAAGGGCAAUGAGUUGCAGUUCUCAAGAUGGGCAUGGGUUGCUGGGAAUUGUAGUCCUCCUGAUGGGCAGAAGCCAUGUUGCAAUGGGAUGUACUUCUAAAACACAAAUCUACUGACCUCCUAGACAUAGCAUAAGGGAAGAAACCAGACAGACAGGGAAUGCAGUGGACAUCUGUCCUGAGAAGCAAGCAGCAGGCCUUCAUGUUUCUGGAACACAAGUCCCAGGCUAAGGCAGCUGGGCAGGCUGAAGGCUCUGCUUUUCUGGAACUCUUAUUUCAUGAGGUGUGUUUGCUAGAAUUUCAUCAGAGGUGGAUGCAUUCAGCCUUUGGAAACCGGUUCAAUCCUGCCAUCCCGAGGCUUCAUCUGAGGCAUCCCCUAAGCUGCUUGGGCUGCAGUGCUCAGGUCCAACUAAGGCAAAGAGGUGAGAGGCCACUUCUCAGGGCUGGAGGCAACCUGAGAGAAGAAUGGGUACGACUGCUUUGGUGAGCACUAGCAGCAUAAAUAAGUUUGGCCACUGGGAGUACAGUACAGGGGUGGGACAACAACCCCGUAUUUGAAGACCUACUUCUAGCACCAGCAUCAAGAAUUCAAUCCAUCUCAGGACUCACAGAACCCAGGACAACUUGCCACCUUUGAGCCACAUAGGCAUUGAAGAGUGUAUAUAGAAGCAACAGUAAACAGAUUAACAGAGGCUAAUACUGUGAUUGAUUGACAUUGGCAAUGGUUG
Mastomys coucha (southern multimammate mouse) is the source of this 1442-nucleotide long non-coding RNA. RefSeq lists it as uncharacterized. The record is from RefSeq and is a predicted model, not a curated record. The transcript has 7 exons. Lineage: Eukaryota; Metazoa; Chordata; Mammalia; Rodentia; Muridae.